UACAGAGGGUGCAAGCGUUAAUCGGAAUUACUGGGCGUAAAGCGUGCGUAGACGGUUAUGUAAGUCGGGUGUGAAAGCCCCGGGCUCGACCUGGGAAUGCCAUUCGAGACUGCAUAGCUAGGGUGCGGAAGAGGGAAGCGGAAUUUCCGGUGUAGCGGUGAAAUGCGUAGAUAUCUGGAGGAACUCCGGUGGCGAAGGCGGCCAUCUGGCCCAACAUUGACGCUGAGACCCGAAAGCGUGGGGAUCAAACAGG
Molecule: ribosomal RNA, 253 nt
Filed under: uncultured bacterium
Lineage: Bacteria
Description: partial 16S ribosomal RNA
Rfam family: Bacterial small subunit ribosomal RNA
Source: RNAcentral